Arachis ipaensis is the source of this 825-nucleotide non-coding RNA. Lineage: Eukaryota; Viridiplantae; Streptophyta; Magnoliopsida; Fabales; Fabaceae. The record is from RefSeq and is a predicted model, not a curated record.
ACCAUGCUUAAUGAUGAGCAUCAUGAUUCUGUAUGGUGGCUUCCGACCACAUUUGCUGUAAGUGUCCAUUGGAACCCAUUAAAUGAUAAACACUUCCUUAGCGUACAUGUGGCAAUCAUUCAGUCAUAAUCCUUAUUCUAUUGAUGUAGCAAAUUGCUUUGAACCCUUCCACUUAUUGCAAGGAAACUAUGGCCUUUAUUCAUCACAAAUACAUGAAAUAUGUUGACGAGACGGCAAAGGUUAGACAUUUAACGUAGUUCAUUUUAAGAAAAAAGAGGCAACUCAUGACUUAAUGGCUGAAAACGUCCUUUUUUUUCAUCCUAGAUUUACAUUCCCUUGAACAAGGAUCAACACCGGUACCUUAUGGUUGUGGACUUGUGCGAAAAAGCUCUUAUAUAUCUGGACUCUGCUAAAGACAUCGACGCGCGUGAAGGCAGAAUGGAUCAAAUGGAGUACGUGGCAUUUUUCCUGCUUAGGCUACUCAAGGAUAGGAAAUUUUAUAGGAAGAAGGAGAGCAAAUGUCCAGAAAGGUCAGAGUUUGAGGUCCGAGAGCCCAUGACCAGCCAACAGCGACCAAAUUCAUGAGCACACCAUAUCCUCUGCAUCUUAUAAAAUUCACGUUUUUACACAAAUUUGAUAUCCUGAUUUUGUUGGUGUUGAUCGUACUACCCUUGAUCAGACUAGACUGCGGGGUCUGGGUUACGCAAUGGAUGCAACUGUCUGAGUUGUGGACUUCGUACGAUCUCGAGAUUGUAAAUGACACCCACCGGAUGCAGCUGGCGGUGGAUUUGGUCAUGUCAAGGGCCAACCCAAUAAGGUCCAAAA